This 460-nucleotide ribosomal RNA is filed under the name uncultured bacterium. RNAcentral's name for it is "partial 16S ribosomal RNA". It matches the Rfam family "Bacterial small subunit ribosomal RNA", at positions 338 to 795 of the family's 1533-position model. The record is from RNAcentral.
CCUACGGGUGGCAGCAGUGAGGAAUAUUGGUCAAUGGGCGGGAGCCUGAACCAGCCAAGUCGCGUGAAGGAUGACUGCCCUAUGGGUUGUAAACCUCUUUUGUAUGGGAACAAAGGGCGCCACGUGUGGCAGUAUGUAGGUACCUUAAGAAAAAGGAUCGGCUAACUCCGUGCCAGCAGCCGCGGUAAUACGGAGGAUGCGAGCGUUAUCCGGAUUUAUUGGGUUUAAAGGGAGCGUAGGUGGGUUGUUAAGUCAGUUGUGAAAGUUUGCGGCUCAACCGUAAAAUUGCAGUUGAAACUGGCAGUCUUGAGUACAGUAGAGGUGGGCGGAAUUCGUGGUGUAGCGGUGAAAUGCUUAGAUAUCACGAAGAACUCCGAUUGCGAAGGCAGCUUACUGGACUGCCACUGACACUGAGGCUCGAAAGUGUGGGUAUCAAACAGGAUUAGAUACCCGUGUAGUC